RNAcentral lists this ribosomal RNA (2923 nucleotides) under Klebsiella pneumoniae. RNAcentral describes it as "23S ribosomal RNA". It matches the Rfam family "Bacterial large subunit ribosomal RNA". Lineage: Bacteria; Pseudomonadati; Pseudomonadota; Gammaproteobacteria; Enterobacterales; Enterobacteriaceae. The record is from RNAcentral.
GGGUUGUGAGGUUAAGCGACUAAGCGUACACGGUGGAUGCCCUGGCAGUCAGAGGCGAUGAAGGACGUGCUAAUCUGCGAAAAGCGUCGGUAAGGUGAUAUGAACCGUUACAGCCGGCGAUGUCCGAAUGGGGAAACCCAGUGCAAUUCGUUGCACUAUCGUUAACUGAAUACAUAGGUUAACGAGGCGAACCGGGGGAACUGAAACAUCUAAGUACCCCGAGGAAAAGAAAUCAACCGAGAUUCCCCCAGUAGCGGCGAGCGAACGGGGAGCAGCCCAGAGUCUGAAUCAGCUUGUGUGUUAGUGGAACGGUCUGGAAAGUCCGACGGUACAGGGUGAUAGUCCCGUACACCAAAAUGCACAGGCUGUGAACUCGAAGAGUAGGGCGGGACACGUGGUAUCCUGUCUGAAUAUGGGGGGACCAUCCUCCAAGGCUAAAUACUCCUGACUGACCGAUAGUGAACCAGUACCGUGAGGGAAAGGCGAAAAGAACCCCGGCGAGGGGAGUGAAAAAGAACCUGAAACCGUGUACGUACAAGCAGUGGGAGCACCUUCGGGUGUGACUGCGUACCUUUUGUAUAAUGGGUCAGCGACUUAUAUUCUGUAGCAAGGUUAACCGUAUAGGGGAGCCGCAGGGAAACCGAGUCUUAACUGGGCGUUAAGUUGCAGGGUAUAGACCCGAAACCCGGUGAUCUAGCCAUGGGCAGGUUGAAGGUUGGGUAACACUAACUGGAGGACCGAACCGACUAAUGUUGAAAAAUUAGCGGAUGACUUGUGGCUGGGGGUGAAAGGCCAAUCAAACCGGGAGAUAGCUGGUUCUCCCCGAAAGCUAUUUAGGUAGCGCCUCGUGAAUUCAUCUUCGGGGGUAGAGCACUGUUUCGGCUAGGGGGUCAUCCCGACUUACCAACCCGAUGCAAACUACGAAUACCGAAGAAUGUUAUCACGGGAGACACACGGCGGGUGCUAACGUCCGUCGUGAAGAGGGAAACAACCCAGACCGCCAGCUAAGGUCCCAAAGUCAUGGUUAAGUGGGAAACGAUGUGGGAAGGCACAGACAGCCAGGAUGUUGGCUUAGAAGCAGCCAUCAUUUAAAGAAAGCGUAAUAGCUCACUGGUCGAGUCGGCCUGCGCGGAAGAUGUAACGGGGCUAAACCAUGCACCGAAGCUGCGGCAGCGACACUAUGUGUUGUUGGGUAGGGGAGCGUUCUGUAAGCCUGCGAAGGUGUGCUGUGAGGCAUGCUGGAGGUAUCAGAAGUGCGAAUGCUGACAUAAGUAACGAUAAAGCGGGUGAAAAGCCCGCUCGCCGGAAGACCAAGGGUUCCUGUCCAACGUUAAUCGGGGCAGGGUGAGUCGACCCCUAAGGCGAGGCCGAAAGGCGUAGUCGAUGGGAAACAGGUUAAUAUUCCUGUACUUGGUGUUACUGCGAAGGGGGGACGGAGAAGGCUAUGUUAGCCGGGCGACGGUUGUCCCGGUUUAAGCAUGUAGGCUGGUUAUCCAGGCAAAUCCGGAUAAUCAAGGCUGAGGUGUGAUGACGAGGUACUACGGUGCUGAAGUAACAAAUGCCCUGCUUCCAGGAAAAGCCUCUAAGCAUCAGGUAACAUUAAAUCGUACCCCAAACCGACACAGGUGGUCAGGUAGAGAAUACCAAGGCGCUUGAGAGAACUCGGGUGAAGGAACUAGGCAAAAUGGUGCCGUAACUUCGGGAGAAGGCACGCUGGUGUGUAGGUGAAGUCCCUGCGGAUGGAGCUGAGACCAGUCGAAGAUACCAGCUGGCUGCAACUGUUUAUUAAAAACACAGCACUGUGCAAACACGAAAGUGGACGUAUACGGUGUGACGCCUGCCCGGUGCCGGAAGGUUAAUUGAUGGGGUUAUCCGUAAGGAGAAGCUCUUGAUCGAAGCCCCGGUAAACGGCGGCCGUAACUAUAACGGUCCUAAGGUAGCGAAAUUCCUUGUCGGGUAAGUUCCGACCUGCACGAAUGGCGUAAUGAUGGCCAGGCUGUCUCCACCCGAGACUCAGUGAAAUUGAACUCGCUGUGAAGAUGCAGUGUACCCGCGGCAAGACGGAAAGACCCCGUGAACCUUUACUAUAGCUUGACACUGAACAUUGAGCCUUGAUGUGUAGGAUAGGUGGGAGGCUUUGAAGCGUGGACGCCAGUCUGCGUGGAGCCAACCUUGAAAUACCACCCUUUAAUGUUUGAUGUUCUAACGUUGGCCCCUUACCGGGGUUGCGGACAGUGUCUGGUGGGUAGUUUGACUGGGGCGGUCUCCUCCCAAAGCGUAACGGAGGAGCACGAAGGUUAGCUAAUCCUGGUCGGACAUCAGGAGGUUAGUGCAAUGGCAUAAGCUAGCUUGACUGCGAGCGUGACGGCGCGAGCAGGUGCGAAAGCAGGUCAUAGUGAUCCGGUGGUUCUGAAUGGAAGGGCCAUCGCUCAACGGAUAAAAGGUACUCCGGGGAUAACAGGCUGAUACCGCCCAAGAGUUCAUAUCGACGGCGGUGUUUGGCACCUCGAUGUCGGCUCAUCACAUCCUGGGGCUGAAGUAGGUCCCAAGGGUAUGGCUGUUCGCCAUUUAAAGUGGUACGCGAGCUGGGUUUAGAACGUCGUGAGACAGUUCGGUCCCUAUCUGCCGUGGGCGCUGGAGAAUUGAGGGGGGCUGCUCCUAGUACGAGAGGACCGGAGUGGACGCAUCACUGGUGUUCGGGUUGUCAUGCCAAUGGCACUGCCCGGUAGCUAAAUGCGGAAGAGAUAAGUGCUGAAAGCAUCUAAGCACGAAACUUGCCCCGAGAUGAGUUCUCCCUGAGACUUUAAGUCUCCUGAAGGAACGUUAAAGACGAUGACGUUGAUAGGCCGGGUGUGUAAGCGCAGCGAUGCGUUGAGCUAACCGGUACUAAUGAACCGUGAGGCUUAACCUUACAACGCCGAAG